Lycium ferocissimum is the source of this 2838-nucleotide long non-coding RNA. RefSeq lists it as uncharacterized. The record is from RefSeq and is a predicted model, not a curated record. The transcript has 3 exons. NCBI's taxonomy places the organism in Eukaryota, Viridiplantae, Streptophyta, Magnoliopsida, Solanales, Solanaceae.
UGGUUGGUAAGGGUUCUCCUAUCAGGUAGCAAGAAGGUAGGUGCCUGCACGAUCCGUAAUUUGGGUCGUGACAACUGCACUAAAAUUUGAUUACGGAUACACAUCACCACCACCCCCAAAAUUCAACUCCCUGUAAAUUCUCAUUGGCGCCGUAUAAAUUUCUUUCUGUUCUCCAUUCCUUUUCUCCUACCGCUCUGUAUUCCCCAAUCUUUAUCACCCUUAGGGUUUUCUAAUGACUUUGAAAGACGUUCAGGGCUUUACAAACUGGAAUAGCUUACGUAGAAUCAUCUUCAUAAUAAGGGAUAGAAUUUUUUGACCUUUCAUUGUUGGAAAACCAGUUUCUGAAAUUACCUUUAAAUUUUGCGGGAUGGCAUUUUUAAACCUUCCAUUGUUGGAACAUGAAUUUGUGCACAUUUAAGGGAUGAUGGUAGGUAUUAUCAGCAUCUUUGGGAUUUCGUUGCAAGUUUUCACUCUGAAAAUCAGGUCUUAUCUUCUAUGGUCCGACUGUUAUAUUAGUAGCUCUAAUUAAUUUAUAUGCAUAUGACGCAAUGUUCUGCAAAUAUUUUUCUAUUUUUUAUAUCUUUUAUCGUUCUUAUUGUCUUUUCCUCUUUACCUAUUCUCUAUUUAUAUGAUGUUAUUGUUCAAAAAUUUCUAUUUGUUUUCUUGGCAAAAGGUUGAAAUGAAAGUGUAUAUUUUCUGUGAUGGGUGGGAAAGAAGAGUCAACAAUGUCGUUAAGAACGUGAAAUGCUCGUACAACGGUUAUUGGAGAAAUUAGUACAACAAGCCAUGGAUACACUUCUUGAUAAUGGUAUCUGGGACAACCAAUGAGGGCCAGUCGUAAUAAAUUUUACAAGUCAUUUUCUGAUGUAACUAAAGGAGGUGAAUGGAAUCCGACACAUAAAUUAGUUAGUUUGCUAACUUUUGGUGUCUUUUUUUUUUUUGGUCAUUUAAGGCACAAUGACAACCGCUACAAGUAAACUUGUGUUAGCAAAUUAUAUGGACCAUAUGAUGCUAAGCAGAUUAAUUUAGAAUCGGUACAUUUCUGAUUCUCUAAUAUGUAUAAAGAGAUCAGCUACUUGCUAUUUUACAUUGCAAGCAGCAUUUGAGUGGUUAUAGGGCUUGUAAUAUUUUAUAUAUUUUUCGCCUCUUAAGGAGCUACUCUCUUCGGCUAUGCUCCACUGGAUCUUUUUACGCUCCCCUAUUUGGCGACUUAGCAAGUCAACUAUUCAUUUUGAUACUCUUAGCUUAAAAUUUCUUCUUUGCACCAUAAUUUAUUCUCAUGAAUACAUAUGUUUUUAAUGUGAUACUGUUUUAGCUGUGUUCGUGAAGUCAUACGUUUGAUCGUGUAUAAAAAGGCCCAAAUCAAGAGGAUUUGGUUGAACAAUGACACAACCCGCCCUUGCAAGAAAAUAUUAGAUGCAAGGGAAAAGGGAAGUUUCAAUUUUCAAGGUGUGUGAGAUCUCUUUGGUCUACCAAAUCAUCUGUCGAGUGGAUAUAAAGAUGAGGUAAAGAACAUUUGUCUAUCAUGUCUCUUAAGUCUUAGCAUUUUUCAAACAUGAGAGUUAAUUGAAAUUUUGCUGAAUCUUAUGGCCUUUAAUAAAAAAUAUUAUUCUGUUACAUUCUGUUUUCAUUAUAUAUUUUACCCGUUUUAAGUACUUUAACUGUUCAACUGCACUUUUGUAUCUUUGAAUUUGUUGAUGAGAUCGUGAAAAAUAAUAAAUUGAAAGAAUACAUCACGGUUGUUUAGUGAAUUCAAUCUAUUUGUCUUUUUAUUUUCUAACCUGACAUUGUAUUCUUUUCCCUUUUCUGCAUUUCUUCGUUAGCUAGAGUACUAAUACCAAGAUUCCAACAAUGAUUUGAAGGGUCAACUUUUUUGGAAGAACAUUGUGCUCGCACUUUCCUAAGCUAGAGUUCAUAUUUUUUUUCCUCAGAUUUUUGGCAUUUUUACUCAAUUGUUUCAUUUAAAACUGCUACAUUAAAGGAAAAAAAAUUAAGCGCCACUAUUAUAACGGCUGAGACUGAAACAUUAAUAUUCAUGAAAUGAUGUCCCCACAGUUAAAAGGCCUGGACUUCUGUGGUGUAUGCUUUCAAUAUCAGAGUAGACUUUACUUCAUGGAAGUUUUCAUCUAUACUCCACAACCACUUUGCCCUAAUAUCACUGUGUUAUUCCCACUAUAACAUUCGUUGGCACAGUAAUCUCCUCCGUCAUUCACCGCCGCUUGCCACCAUUUUCCUUACGGCACAUGCUCCUCAUAUUAUUCAACAUUUGUAGUACGUCAAUUUGUGCGACUGCGAAUUACAUUGAUGUUAACACUGAUUUAAGCAAUGUGCAACUGAUGAUGGUCAUUCAAUUGCUAACAUUAUUUCCCAUAUAUAAGUUUUUCAUUGUAGGUUUUCUUCUAUAAUAUGUAUUGCUCAAAUGUGCCUCAAUACGUAACUGUUGGGGAGUGGUUUCAGUUUUCCCUAUCCAAUAGGUCCAGUGAAACUUUUAUAGAGAGAUCAAGCACAUCAAAGGAAUAUCAGUUUAUGCAAAGGGACACCGUCCGAAGUUCCCCAUUGAGAACUCUCAGAAGAUUGACAAAAUUGAAACCUGUUUAAGGAUGCGUUCAAAGGGUAUAAUGAUUUUCGAAGUGCUAAAACAUCGGUAUUUAUGGUUGUCACGCAUACAGAAGGAAGACUUUACAUAAUGAUGUUUGCAGAUUGUACUUAUGAAAGGAAGCUAGCGAUUAGGAUUGGCAAUGAUACCCUGAUUGUAUCAGUUUUGAACUACAUGAAAAAGGACAGUUCUGUCAUAAAUAUUCUGUGCAAAGCUCAAAAGAAGCUUCUAUUUGAGGCCGU